CGAGCCGACCGGGCGGCCGCGGUACCUCCGGCCAGGCCGGGGGGCUGAGGAACGUCCGGGCUCCACAGAGCAGGGCGGUGGCUAACGGCCACCCGGGGUGACCCGCGGGACAGUGCCACAGAGAACAGACCGCCGUCGGCCUGCCGAUGGUAAGGGUGAAACGGUGGGGUAAGAGCCCACCAGCGCUGCAGGUGACUGCGGCGGCUAGGUAAACCCCGCCCGGAGCAAGACCGCACAGCAGACGUCCGAGGGCUGCUCGCCCGAGCCUGCGGGUAGGUCGCGUGAGGCCACCGGCAACGGUGGUCCAAGAUGGAUGGUCGCCGCCGCCAGGUCGUGAGGCCCGGCGGUAACAGAACCCGGCGUACAGGUCGGCUCGUCCG
RNAcentral lists this RNase P RNA (380 nucleotides) under Actinomyces weissii. RNAcentral describes it as "Actinomyces sp. 2298/06 Bacterial RNase P class A". It matches the Rfam family "Bacterial RNase P class A". Rfam says of the family: Ribonuclease P (RNase P) is a ubiquitous endoribonuclease, found in archaea, bacteria and eukarya as well as chloroplasts and mitochondria. Its best characterised activity is the generation of mature 5'-ends of tRNAs by cleaving the 5'-leader elements of precursor-tRNAs. Lineage: Bacteria; Bacillati; Actinomycetota; Actinomycetes; Actinomycetales; Actinomycetaceae. The record is from Rfam by way of RNAcentral.